GGAUGUUUCCAUAACCGGCACUUGGCGAAAUUGCGGAUUUGUUUACAUCGGAAGUGAGCGUACGUGCGCCAGAAUAUGGUAACCCUGAUAAUUGUUGCAACCCACACAGGGAAUUUUCCUGAAGGAGGAAAAGGGAAAUUUUCUGUUUACUUUUCGAACAUUACGGUUGAACUGCCCUUCAAUGAAAGCUUUUGCUCGAUGUGUGGCCUGUAAUAGCAAUAAAUGGGACUUUUGUGAACUGAAAUCUGUUAGGCUUUCCAAAAUCCAGAAAGCUGAUUAGGUGUGCAGAAGCAGCAGACUUGUAAAUGUGAAGGAGCUAUUUGCUUAGUUAUGCAGUAGAAUUCACCACCCUGCGGCAAGCUUCAUUAAAGCUGUGAACAGCCAAGCUAACCAUCUUCAGGGCAAGUGGCUGCAUCAAGCAAACCCAGUGACAUUCCAAAGAGGAAUGUCAGUCAAAAUAAAAACUUAAUACCUAAAUCUCGGAAAAUCAGACAAUUAAGCCACAAAUCUUGUGACCAAUUUUUCAGUUGCUGUGCUUAGUGCGAUAAAGUUAUAUGGCAAUAAACUGAAAAGCUAUGGCAGGUAUUCUAUUGUACCCUUUAAUGAAAUCAAUUUAAAGCAAGCUUAUCAUAUGAUAAGCAAAAUGAUUGUAUCAUUGGAUAUGAAGACUAUGGUAAUGAUUGCAUUGCUGGGUAUGCAGGCUAUGGUUCUACAAUGAGCCAAAUGUAAUAUCUCAGUAUGCUGUGACUAUUAAAAUUAUAAAUUAUGUAUUAUUACUUC
Stegodyphus dumicola is the source of this 780-nucleotide long non-coding RNA. NCBI's taxonomy places the organism in Eukaryota, Metazoa, Arthropoda, Arachnida, Araneae, Eresidae. The record is from RefSeq and is a predicted model, not a curated record.